GUGGCUUGUGUGACAACAGAAGUGGCAAACGGGUUUAUCGCAAGCAGACGGUGGUCAAUGUAGCACUUCACCAGGAGUAUUCCAGGUAUCGUAUUUUCCACGGGGAACAAGAAGUGGACUAACUAGACCAGUUGAGUCGUCAGAUGAUGAUCAAAGGGCUUAGGAUUGGGUGGAGAGGUAUUUCUAGUAUUCGGCUUCUGGCUAAGCUAUCCUAAGUAUACCUGAGAGUUAACUCCCUUCCUACUGUGGCUGAUAGGUGAAAAGGGUGUGGCGAAACACUUCCCUAGGUAGCUACCAUGCAGGCCAACUAUUAUUUGCAACUUGCGUAACAACACACUAAAGUGAACUCCUAAUAUCCAGCAGAGGCCUGUCACGCUUCGCUGCUAGAGUUCUUCAGGUGCGACAAGAAGUCCACAAGGGCAGACUUAGUCUAGACACCACGUCUACACUAAGUCUACUACUCUAGAUCCAGCUAAACUUUCAAGCACUUCACACAAGGCAAAGCAAUGUGGCAUAUGGGCUGGUUGUAUACUUAAAAUAAACUAAGACAGAAAGUAAAUACUGGAAGUACUUAGAUGAAAGGCAACUAGAAGGAAGACUUACUAGAAGAUGAACAUCUGCUGAGGCAAUCCUGGAAGAAGACUCCCGACAAGCUGGGACUAUUCCUCAGAGAGCUCCUCACUCUCUUCCCUCGAUUCUCACACUUAGCUAAGAGUAGCUCUUCCUAAGAUACAUCCUCUUUAACUAGGCUCUCUAAGGGCGUAUUUAUAGGGGGAGAUGGAGUAGGGGCUACUCUAGCGCCACAUCAGCGAUCUGUGCGCUCCUUCUCCACCGUUGGACCAAACCGACCUUGGAAACGCCAUAUGAUCAAUGGUUGGGAAUUUCCAUCACAUGUUCAUCAUGGGGAUGUCGAUGGGAGUGAACCGACUCAAGGUGGGCCCACAUCCCAGGUCGGUUGUUGACAAUUGUGAUAUAGUUCUUAGCUCAUGAUUCAUACCCUUUCUAUUCAAAGUGCUUAGAGAUUUAUUAUUGAAAAUAUCAUAAAACCAUAGUGUCACUUACUCCUCAAUAGUAAGAGAAUUCCUACCAUAGCCAUAUAUGUUCAUACCUUGUUCAAAACCCUUCUAUAUAUGCUACUUGUACUUGUGUUGUGUUUGGUCAAACCUUGUGACCCUAGUUGAGAAUUAUGUCAUAGUCCCAAGAUCAAGAUCACACACACACCACAUACAUAUGCUGCUUCUACACUCGAAGUACGCAAAAACAUGCCACCCAUUUCCACCAUAUAGAUGCUCCAUGUUUUAAGGUUUAGAAUAUCUCUCUCUAAGUAUUGGUUAUAAGAUGAGAGACAAAGGCUAUGCUUAGUAAAAAAAAGUGCGCACAUGAAGGUCCAUUGCUUUUGAAAAAAAAAGAAAAAAAGCUAGCCAUGUCUCAAAUAAAUAAGAGAAAGAGAGAGAGAUCUUAUCAAACAUAGGAGCAUUCUAUUCUAAUCAUUUUUCACACACUUACACAUCUUGAUCUAGAAUUAGACAUUCUUCUCCUUGGAUCCUUGUUUUGACUUUACAAUAUAUACAAUGCAAUCAUGCUAUCUUGUUUCUCCCUACCUGAGCCCCACAUAAGCCUAAUAGAUGUAGGAUGAAACAAAAGAAGGCAAUCUUAUGCUAUGCCUUGGUGAGGAAUCCUAUACUUACUGAGUGACUUGAGAGUACUAUUAGUGGAGUAAGGAUGAACUAUGUGCUUUCUUUUAAAACAUUUAUCAAAAACUCUAAGUACUAAGGAUAUGAAAAUGGGAAGAUGACUUUGCUUUGAGAACUAUUCCAUUCUUCAACAUCCUAAGGAUAUAUGUUAGACAGUGCCACAUAAUCCACUUGUAUAAGAUAUGUCUUGAGUAGUCUUUGUGUUUGCUUAUAUCUUAAAAGUGUCAUAAUCAUAGGUUAUCUUCCUCUAACCUUUGCUCGAGGACAAGCAAAGACUUAAGUGUGGGGGUUCUUGUUAACGGUAGAUAAGCCCUAUUUUUACCCCAUCAAAAUCGUCAACAAUAUAUUCUUUCUAGAAGAAAAUCACCAAACACAUAGUGACUUAGGUACAAAUAACUUGGUUCCACAUGUACAUGACAUCAUUUGGAUGUAGGUCUGCAAUUGACUACUUUUUAGGGUUAAGGAGCUCUAUAUGAAGGUUGGACUACCACCCC
Molecule: long non-coding RNA, 2188 nt
Filed under: Sorghum bicolor (sorghum)
Lineage: Eukaryota; Viridiplantae; Streptophyta; Magnoliopsida; Poales; Poaceae
Description: long non-coding RNA (SBIC_LNC014191)
Source: RNAcentral